RNAcentral lists this small nuclear RNA (107 nucleotides) under Fukomys damarensis (Damara mole-rat). Lineage: Eukaryota; Metazoa; Chordata; Mammalia; Rodentia; Bathyergidae. The record is from RNAcentral.
GUGCUUGCUUUGUCAGCACAUAUGCUAAAACAGCAACGACGCUCAGAAAGUGGGCAAGACUCCUACACAUAUAUGGCACACAAAUUUGUGAAGAAGCCCAUAUGUUU